This is a long non-coding RNA of Gasterosteus aculeatus aculeatus (three-spined stickleback), 620 nucleotides long. The record is from Ensembl. Lineage: Eukaryota; Metazoa; Chordata; Actinopteri; Perciformes; Gasterosteidae.
AUAGGGGUGUAACGAUUCAUCCACUGAAUCGAUUAAUCGAUUUAUAUUCCUGCGAUCCAACUGAAUCGAUCUGUGCUCCGCAAAUCGGCAUUCCGGACAACAUAUAUCGAUUACAAAUCGAUUGAAAUGGUACAUAAUCGAUUGUAUCGAUACUUGGAAACUGCACAUUGGAUUUAAGCACAAAAACUGUAUCGAUGUGUGUUUGUUUGUUUGUUUUUUAGCACUUUAGACACGUUAAACGUUACUCGAUUCAGUCUGCCUGUCUGUGACGUCAUCAGUACGCAGCGGCAGCCGCGCGAAACUCGGAACAACAACAAAACACAGCGUGGAGGAGACAACUGCCAGCGAGACAUUUACAAACCAACAUAUCGAUCCAGCGUGUGGAAACAUUUCGGCUUUUGCAAACACGGAGGUGUUCUGAAUAAGUCGGUCGCUGUUUGUAGAAUAUGUAGAAGACAAAUAAAAAAACACGGAAACAGGACGAAUCUUUCCAGCCAUCUACUAAGGCGCCGUGGGAUUAAACAACGCCGACAGUCAGGACCUCUAGCAGCGUUACCGCUGCAGCAGCAGCAGCGGACCUGAAUGCUUCUUGCCAUCCGUCUUCGUACCACCGUUUCGGG